AACAACGAAGAGUUUGAUCCUGGCUCAGGAUGAACGCUAGCGACAGGCUUAACACAUGCAAGUCGAGGGGCAGCAGGGGAAGGACUUGUCCUUCCCGCUGGCGACCGGCGCACGGGUGAGUAACACGUAUGCAAUCUGCCCAUAACAGGGGGAUAAGCGGAAGAAAUUCCGUCUAAUACCGCAUAAUAUCCCUGGAGGACAUCCUCCGGGGAUUAAAGCUCCGGCGGUUAUGGAUGAGCAUGCGGCGCAUUAGCUAGUUGGCGGGGUAACGGCCCACCAAGGCGACGAUGCGUAGGGGUUCUGAGAGGAAGGUCCCCCACA
RNAcentral lists this ribosomal RNA (321 nucleotides) under Bacteroides sp. RNAcentral describes it as "bacterial SSU rRNA". It matches the Rfam family "Bacterial small subunit ribosomal RNA", at positions 1 to 312 of the family's 1533-position model. Lineage: Bacteria; Pseudomonadati; Bacteroidota; Bacteroidia; Bacteroidales; Bacteroidaceae. The record is from RNAcentral.